This 62-nucleotide transfer RNA is filed under the name Coemansia sp. RSA 2603. RNAcentral describes it as "tRNA-Met". It matches the Rfam family "tRNA", at positions 6 to 65 of the family's 71-position model. Rfam says of the family: Transfer RNA (tRNA) molecules are approximately 80 nucleotides in length. Their secondary structure includes four short double-helical elements and three loops (D, anti-codon, and T loops). The record is from RNAcentral. Lineage: Eukaryota; Fungi; Kickxellomycota; Kickxellomycetes; Kickxellales; Kickxellaceae.
CUUGGCUCAGUCGGUAGAGCGUCAGUCUCAUAAUCUGAAGGUCGUGAGUUCGAACCUCACAG